UACAGGGGGGGCAAGCGUUGUUCGGAAUUACUGGGCGUAAAGGGCUCGUAGGCGGCCAACUAAGUCACACGUGAAAUCCCCAGGCUUAACCGGGGAACUGCGUCCGAUACUGGAUGGCUUGAGUUCGGGAGAGGGAUGCGGAAUUCCAGGUGUAGCGGUGAAAUGCGUAGAUAUCUGGAGGAACACCGGUGGCGAAGGCGGCAUCCUGGACCGACACUGACGCUGAGGAGCGAAAGCCAGGGGAGCAAACGGG
RNAcentral lists this ribosomal RNA (253 nucleotides) under uncultured bacterium. RNAcentral describes it as "partial 16S ribosomal RNA". It matches the Rfam family "Bacterial small subunit ribosomal RNA", at positions 524 to 776 of the family's 1533-position model. The record is from RNAcentral.